Long non-coding RNA from Spea bombifrons (plains spadefoot toad), 1481 nucleotides. RefSeq lists it as uncharacterized. Lineage: Eukaryota; Metazoa; Chordata; Amphibia; Anura; Pelobatidae. The transcript is spliced from 3 exons. The record is from RefSeq and is a predicted model, not a curated record.
CGUCCACUUUGUGGUUUUUCUAACAUUAAAAGGCAUACCUGUUUUAACAAUACCUCAGUUUAAAUACUAAAGGUAUUGGGUCAAUGCUAAAAACUAUACAUUGCAGCUAUAUUCCUGGGGCUCCCCCCAAAGGGAAAUAAGCCCUACAAACUGUUGGCCAGUGUUUUGAAUCAACAGCUACUCUCUAGUUUAUAUUUAAAUGGUGGUUUUAUGUUUUGCUUCCCUAUUCAUAAAUUUAGUGGAAGAGCUUCUGCAGUCCUUAGUGCAGGGGUGUGAUGAGUGGAUAUGUGGAAUAAGCUUUCUAACAGAAGAUGACCCCAAAAAGAAAACAAAAAACCAAAACACAAACUUUAAAAGCAAGGACAAAAUAAACUUGUUAUUUAUAGUCUAACGGGAUAAAGGCCGGAGAUUUCCCAGUGGGAUGUGGACAUCGUACAAUUGCCAAGGUUCCUAAACCUUUAGAAAGAAAAGAGAAUUUCUGCGAGACAUUCAGGAUGUGUAAAUCAUGCAUCGCAAACAAGGUAACAGCAUUCCCUAAUAUUGCUCACCACACGUUAAUGUGUCCUGAGCAGUGUAACCACCUUCCUGUUUACAGCAUCACUUGUAUCCAGGCUGUAGCCUGUGGUCCUGUGUUUGCUUUAUGGUUAAACUGCACAGGCUGUGAAUGUUAAUUUUAAUCUCCCAUAUAAACUGUCAGCAGAUUAUUCCAUAUCAGCUUUAAAAGCCAUUAUGUCUAAAACACAUUUAAUUGAAACAAUAUUCUUUUUAAUGUAAUGUAAUAAGUUUUCCAAGCUGCAUAUAAUGUCAGUAGAAUUAAUUGUACAAUUUCAAUAACUAAAAAUCUGCUCAGUUACUUAAAAUAAAAAGCAAAAAAAAGUCCCUUCCUCUGCCAAACUGUUGCUUUUCCUACAUUUUUUUUGUUUUAUUAUAAACUUCACAGGGUUUUGGGUUGGGGCCAAAGCCUAUGUCCAGAGCUGACUUUUUGUUCUUGUUUUACAGGUGCCAUGUUUUGACAGGCUCUCUGACAGAAUUUGAAGUACCAGCAGUGUUAUUCCUGAACACUUAGUUGGACUCAAUUUAUUUCCCACCAGGGAUUAAGUUGUCCAGCUUUCAGACAUAACAUUUGCCUCGGGUCAUGAAUUCAAGGAAGUCAAUAUCUUACAGCCUAGUACUAUCUUGUUAAUGUGGCAGUCUUUUAGCAAGAAUGAAAGUGUUCUACAAACACAGCACAUGAAUAAAAUAGUUAAAUGUGCAUUAAGUGGUUGGGGUGCCUUAAUCCCUCCCAGCCACUUUUUUUAUUGGUAAAGUUAUAUUAUCGCUGGCUUUUUGUAAUGUAGAUAACAUGCAUAGAAAAUUUGCCAGAACUUGAAGACUGGAAUAAUGCAACAUGUCAUAAUAAUGUUCUAAUAACACUAAACCAGCACUGUAUUGAAGUAGGCAGCAACUUUUUUUUUUUUGUAAUAAAUUUUUCAGUUUCCUUA